UGCCACAUUUUAUCUGUGAAUUUAUGUGGCAUUCAGCAGAAAAUCACUAAUCGAUUAGUUAGCGAUUGCUUCUGCUGAAUGCACCCAUUGGUCAUCACAUUUCAUUUUCAUAACAUAACCGAUAACCUAAAAAUUUAGUAAAAAAGUAAAAAUUUUGAUUGGAAAAAAAUGCAUCGAUAAGGGGGUGUGGGAAAUGGAAAUUAGUGGCUUUUUUGCUGUACUGUCUGCUAGUUUUUGCUCUGGGCACUGGCUAGAUCUCUUGUUUAAACAAUUUUAAUCGGCUGAAAGUGGCCUACAAAAAAAAAACCAAGAAGGAAAUGUAUAGCCUUGUGGCUAUGAAAGGCAAAAGAGAGAUAUAAAAAGUGUAUUGGCUAGUUGGAAGAAAGUCCACAUUGUCCAUGCAUAAUAAGUUAUUACAUUAUCAACAAAUAUCAAGAAGAUAGCAGGGUCACGAGCAUCAACUUCAUGAGUUCAAGAAUAUCGAGGAAAUCCAGCUCCUCGAUACUACUGGGCAAACUAGAAGAUUGAAGAGGACAAAUCCUUUUGAACUAGUUUGAGUGAUAGGUGAUAGUGAAAAACGGAGCAUAGUGCUUGUGUGCUGUGCCUGUGUAUGUUAGAAUAGUGCACGAUCUUGUUAGAUUAGAUAAGAGACGCUAUGGGGUAAGCUCUUCAUUUUAAGAAACAGUAGUAAUUUAGGUUAAAUUAAAAUUGCUCAUUGGUCAGUUAUGACCAGAUUGUUUUUUUAUGUUUGGCAAAAAGGACUUAAGUCAGAAUUGCACAUUGAUAAUGUUUUGAUGAUUUCUGGACCAGAAAAAAACUGUUGUAGAUGUAAACUGUAUGUACAGUAGAAUCUACUACAGUACUGUAGAAAUCAUCAAAACAUUAUCGAUGUGCAAUUCUGACUUAAGCCCUUUUUCCCAAACAUCAGAGAAUUGUAAUGUACAAUAAUUCUCCUAUCUGCUUUUUCAUGAAUUUUGUAGGAGACGAAAAACCAUUUUUAGGAUCAUCUGCUUUCACAUGUUUUGUAGUAAAUAGAUAGUUGAAUUUACUACAAAACAUGUCAAAAAAUAUAUGAAAACAGGAGGUGACUAUAAAAAAAGUUUUUAGUCUCUCUUACAAAACUCAUGAAAAAACAAAUCGGAGGUAUGUCACAUCAGUGACUAAGAAUGUCUAAAAAAUAUACUUUGAUGUCCCAAGAACCAAAUAUAACCUACAGUCCAUCUAAUUUACUUACUGUUGCAGGUCAUUAUCUACGUCAGAGAUCUAAGUUGACAUAGUUGCCAAAGUAUAAAAAGAUCCUGAAUCCAUUUUAAAUCAAAUAUGUCACAUAAUUAUUGUAAACGUGGAUUAUACAACAAAACAAAUUAAUAUUCAAUGUAAAUAAGUAAAAACUUAAGAAAUAGAGAACAAGAAUUAAGUUAUAAUCUUUUAAGAUUUGCAGUGCAAGAGUUUUUGCACUGCAUUGUUAAUAAUUAAAAAACGGCUCCGAACUCUUGGCAAAAAGCCGGUAGGUUUCUUUGUAUAAGUAUGUCUACAAUAACAACUAAAAAAGUUGUCAGAUACCUCGAUUAUUCCAAGUAUUCCAAGUCGUUAUAAAAUUAGGUGAAAUUUAUAUUUUUAUAGUAGAGGAUCUUUUUAUAGUAAAGUAAAUAAUAAAAACAGUAAAUAUAAUAAAUAAAACAGAUACUUAUAGUAAAGAAUAUAAACAAAUAUGAAGUGUCAUCACCGUAACUGUCAAAUAAAUGUUACCAAUUUAUUCUAAAAUGUCACCUUCAUUCGAUUACAGUUACAGUGUGAUCCGAACAAAUCUGCUUCAUAAAAACGCUUUAUAAUCCAUUUAUACAAAUUAAAUGAAACAUAUUAUUGUGUAUUUCUUUAGGUUAACAUUAAUAGAAAUCUUCAAAUAUUAUUUCUACGCGUAUAUAAUAAAAUAUGUCUAGUGGCUGUAAUUCCAGUGUACUCGGCAAAGUGAUUCUAAAAAAGAACACACCUACCGCCUAAAUAUUUCGUGUUGGUAUCAUGCAACCUCACAGGCUACGACGCGGAUGACGCGCAACAGUUAGUAAAUUAGACGAAAUAUGUAGAUAUAUACAGGGUGUAACAAAAAUACAGGUCAUAAAUUUAAUCACAUAUUCUGGGACCAAAAAUAGUUUGAUUGGACCUAACUUACCUUAGUACAAAUGUGCACACAAGAAAAGUUACAGCCCUUUGAAGUUAUAUAUAUAUAAUAGCACCAAGGGUCUUAGAGGCCCAUGGCUUGAAAAGUUUGUUUUUUUUCUUCAUUUUCACGUUUCUUUAUGUACUGAGAUCUUCUCUGGCUUGAUAUGUGAUUUUUCUCCAUUCCUUCCUGUUAUUCAUUUUUCUUUUCUGACCCUGUAGCACCAUUCUUUCCAAAUCUUUUUCGACCUCUUGCUUCCAUCUAUUUUUCGGCCUUCCUCUUCUCUUUCUUGAAGCUGUAGUGUAGUUUAGUACCAUUUUUGGAGUCCUCGUGUUUGGCAUCCUUUCAAUGUGACCUCGCCAUCUAAGUCUCUGUGCCUUUAUCAUUCAUUUGAAGUUACAAGAUGAAGUGAUUUUUUCCAAUAUAUCGAAAACUAUUAGAGAUUUUUUAUUGAAAAUGGACAUGUGGCAUUAUUAUGGCAGCA
Molecule: long non-coding RNA, 2642 nt
Filed under: Diabrotica virgifera virgifera (western corn rootworm)
Lineage: Eukaryota; Metazoa; Arthropoda; Insecta; Coleoptera; Chrysomelidae
Description: uncharacterized LOC114328669
Source: RNAcentral